RNAcentral lists this long non-coding RNA (530 nucleotides) under Cyanistes caeruleus (blue tit). RNAcentral's name for it is "lncRNA (ENSCCEG00000013655.1)". Lineage: Eukaryota; Metazoa; Chordata; Aves; Passeriformes; Paridae. The record is from RNAcentral.
CCGCCCUUCCCGCCCCUCAGGGCGCGGCCCCUCAGGCGCCUUCGCCCCGCUCCGCCCCGACCCCGCGGUGUCGGUAAUUCACCCUCGCGGGGCUCCUUCGAGAUGUUGGGGGGCUGUGCUGUGCUCCUAGGUUCAGGUGAUGGAGGCAAAACACUGCAGGCAGCCACGCGGUGGGACCUGGCUGGGAGGGGUCACAACGGUGUAACGCGUACACAGCGGUGUGAGGCUGGGGGCGCUGCCACUGAGGUCAGAUGUUGGCCUGGUCUUCUGUCUCAUCCCCAACCCAGCCUGAAAACGUCCCUGAAAAUGUCCUACAGGUAGUCCAGAGUUCCUGGAAACAGAGGAUGUCUCGUGGCAGGCACUGCAGUGCCACGCUGAGCUGCCCAGACCCACACUCCAGCCCUGACAGCAGCACCCCAGAACCUUCCAGCUUGGAGAAAACCUCCCAGAGCAUCGAGUUCAACCUGGGAUUAAUCCCAUUUUCAACAAGUGCUGUCUGCAGUCAUUCCUGGGUCAUCCAGACACGGUGA